ACAUAAACAAAGCAGGGUGCUUUCCCUUCCCAAGGGCUGAGCUUUCUCUCUUCCUUCUUCUGGCAGAGGCUUUCUAACUAUUCACAGGCUCUCUCCUUCCACAUCUCUCCCUCUCUGUGACACAGAAGAGAACCAAUGAGGAUGGCACGGCAGAGCCUAGGGCAACCCUAAGUAUCCUUCUAGCUGUUACAUGUCCCAGGCUUGCCCUUUACAUCUGGGGCCACAUUGUAUACAGAUGACUACAUGCUGCACUGCAUUGAUUUACUCAAUGUACUGCUCUUUUAGAUGGCCUCCUGAAUUUCAAACAAGGGAAGAACAGCAAGAUGGAAGAAUUCUCCAGUUUCUGUACUCUGCAGGAUUUCUGAAGUUCUACCUUAAAGUUCUACCUGGCUUUUGGGAACCUGUUCUCCAUGCUGGAUUACUUUCACCAACCUUGAUGCAGGGAGAGGAGCUUGGUCCUGCCUUUAACUUGAUAUGCCAUGCUUUGUUCAAGCCCAAUCGGACGCCUGCUUCUUUCUGAAUAGAGACUGAGAAGUGGAUGGGAGACAGAUAUGAAAAGUCCACAACUGACAUAGAAGUGCCUCAUUUUAAAACAUACAGCUGAAUUUCUAAGGACUUAGCCCACAACAUAGAAUUACAGGAAUGUUUGCUGAUGCUUCUACUGAUAUGAAUACAUCAUCAUAUGAUUGACCAGCCCCAGUGUAGGCAUUCCUUGCCAUCAUUAUGGAAGCUUUAUGACAUGAG
RNAcentral lists this long non-coding RNA (744 nucleotides) under Cricetulus griseus (Chinese hamster). Its description in RNAcentral is "lncRNA (ENSCGRG00015040740.1)". The record is from RNAcentral. Lineage: Eukaryota; Metazoa; Chordata; Mammalia; Rodentia; Cricetidae.